CAGUCGCCGCGGGAAUACGGAGGGUGCAAGCGUUAAUCGGAAUUACUGGGCGUAAAGCGCGCGUAGGUGGUUUGUUAAGUUGGAUGCGAAAUCCCCGGGCUUAACCUGGGAACUGCAUUUGAAACUGGCAGGCUAGAGUCUUGUAGAGGGGGGUAGAAUUCCAGGUGUAGCGGUGAAAUGCGUAGAGAUCUGGAGGAAUACCGGUGGCGAAGGCGGCCCCCUGGGCCAACACUGACGCUCAUGCACGAAAGCGUGGGGAGCAAACAGGAUUAGAUACCCCGGUAGUCCCUGUCUCUUAUAC
This 301-nucleotide ribosomal RNA is filed under the name uncultured bacterium. Its description in RNAcentral is "partial 16S ribosomal RNA". It matches the Rfam family "Bacterial small subunit ribosomal RNA", at positions 509 to 807 of the family's 1533-position model. The record is from RNAcentral.